RNAcentral lists this transfer RNA (74 nucleotides) under Coragyps atratus (black vulture). RNAcentral's name for it is "tRNA-Glu". It matches the Rfam family "tRNA". Rfam says of the family: Transfer RNA (tRNA) molecules are approximately 80 nucleotides in length. Their secondary structure includes four short double-helical elements and three loops (D, anti-codon, and T loops). Lineage: Eukaryota; Metazoa; Chordata; Aves; Accipitriformes; Cathartidae. The record is from RNAcentral.
GUUUCUGUAGUUGAGAUAGUUUCAACGAUGGUUUUUCAAGCCAUAGACCUUGGAGAAAAGCCAAGCAGAAACUG